CCUACGGGGGGCAGCAGUGGGGGAUAUUGCACAAUGGGGGGAACCCUGAUGCAGCGACGCCGCGUGGGUGAAGGAGUGCUUCGGCAUGUAAAGCCCUAUCGGCAGGGAAGAAGCAAGACGGUACCUGACUAAGAAGCCCCGGCUAACUACGUGCCAGCAGCCGCGGUAAUACGUAGGGGGCGAGCGUUAUCCGGAUUCACUGGGUGUAAAGGGAGCGUAGACGGCAAUACAAGUCGGAAGUGAAAUACCCGGGCUCAACCUGGGAAUUGCUUUGGAAACUGUAUGGCUGGAGUGCUGGAGAGGUAAGCGGAAUUACUAGUGUAGCGGUGAAAUGCGUAGAUAUUAGGAGGAACACCAGUGGCGAAGGCGGCUUACUGGACAGUAACUGACGUUGAGGCUCGAAAGCGUGGGGAGCAAACAGGAUUAGAUACCCGAGUAGUC
Molecule: ribosomal RNA, 441 nt
Filed under: uncultured bacterium
Lineage: Bacteria
Description: partial 16S ribosomal RNA
Rfam family: Bacterial small subunit ribosomal RNA
Source: RNAcentral